AGAACGAACGCUGGCGGCAUGCCUAACACAUGCAAGUCGAACGAGACCUUCGGGUCUAGUGGCGCACGGGUGCGUAACGCGUGGGAAUCUGCCCUUGGGUUCGGAAUAACAGCGAGAAAUUGCUGCUAAUACCGGAUGAUGACGUAAGUCCAAAGAUUUAUCGCCCGAGGAUGAGCCCGCGUAGGAUUAGCUUGUUGGUGAGGUAAGAGCUCACCAAGGCGACGAUCCUUAGCUGGUCUGAGAGGGUGAUCAGCCACACUGGGACUGAGACACGGCCCAGACUCCUACGGGAGCAGCGGUAGGGAAUAUGGACAAUGGGCGAAAGCCUGAUCCAGCAAUGCCGCGUGAGUGAUGAAGGCCUUAGGGUUGUAAAGCUCUUUACCGAGAUGAUAAUGACAGUACCGGAGAAUAAGCCCGGCUAACUCCGCGCCAGCAGCCGC
RNAcentral lists this ribosomal RNA (440 nucleotides) under uncultured soil bacterium. RNAcentral's name for it is "bacterial SSU rRNA". It matches the Rfam family "Bacterial small subunit ribosomal RNA", at positions 26 to 518 of the family's 1533-position model. The record is from RNAcentral.